UACAGAGGGGGUAAGCGUUGUUCGGAAUUACUGGGCGUAAAGGGCUCGUAGGCGGCCAACUAAGUCAGACGUGAAAUCCCUCAGCUUAACUGGGGAACUGCGUCUGAUACUGGAUGGCUUGGAUUUGGGAGAGGGAUGCGGAAUUCCAGGUGUAGCGGUGAAAUGCGUAGAUAUCUGGAGGAACACCGGUGGCGAAGGCGGCAUCCUGGACCAAUAUUGACGCUGAGGAGCGAAAGCCAGGGGAGCAAACGGG
RNAcentral lists this ribosomal RNA (253 nucleotides) under uncultured bacterium. RNAcentral's name for it is "partial 16S ribosomal RNA". It matches the Rfam family "Bacterial small subunit ribosomal RNA", at positions 524 to 776 of the family's 1533-position model. The record is from RNAcentral.